GUAGGUGGCAAGCGUUGUCCGGGAAUUAUUGGGGCGUAAAGCGCGCGCAGGCGGUUCUUUAAGUCUGAUGUGAAAGCCCACGGGCUCAACCGUGGAGGGUCAUUGGAAACUGGAGAACUUGAGUACAGAAGAGGAAAGCGGAAUUCCACGUGUAGCGGUGAAAUGCGUAGAGAUGUGGAGGAACACCAGUGGCGAAGGCGGCUUUCUGGUCUGUAACUGACACUGAGGCGCGAAAGCGUGGGGAGCAAACAGGAUUAGAUACCCUGGUAGUCCACGCCGUAAACGAUGAGUGCUAAGUGUUAGGGGGUUUCCGCCCCUUAGUGCUGCAGCUAACGCAUUAAGCACUCCGCCUGGGGAGUACGGCCGCAAAGGCUGA
This 376-nucleotide ribosomal RNA is filed under the name uncultured organism. RNAcentral describes it as "partial 16S ribosomal RNA". It matches the Rfam family "Bacterial small subunit ribosomal RNA", at positions 527 to 897 of the family's 1533-position model. The record is from RNAcentral.